GGGGAUUUAGCUCAGUGGUAGAGCGCUUGCCUAGCAAGCACAAGGCCCUGGGUUCGGUCCCCAGUUCCG
Rattus norvegicus (Norway rat) is the source of this 69-nucleotide non-coding RNA. The record is from Rfam. NCBI's taxonomy places the organism in Eukaryota, Metazoa, Chordata, Mammalia, Rodentia, Muridae.